This 434-nucleotide ribosomal RNA is filed under the name uncultured Oscillospiraceae bacterium. RNAcentral's name for it is "partial 16S ribosomal RNA". It matches the Rfam family "Bacterial small subunit ribosomal RNA", at positions 341 to 792 of the family's 1533-position model. Lineage: Bacteria; Bacillati; Bacillota; Clostridia; Eubacteriales; Oscillospiraceae. The record is from RNAcentral.
ACGGGAGGCAGCAGUGGGGAAUAUUGGGCAAUGGGCGCAAGCCUGACCCAGCAAUGCCGCGUGAAGGAAGAAGGCUUUCGGGUUGUAAACUUCUUCUAAGAGGGACGAAAAUGACGGUACCACUUGAAUAAGCUCCGGCUAACUACGUGCCAGCAGCCGCGGUAAUACGUAGGGGGCAAGCGUUAUCCGGAUUUACUGGGUGUAAAGGGCGUGUAGGCGGUACUGCAAGUCAGAUGUGAAAGCACGAGGCUCAACUUCGGGUCUGCAUUUGAAACUGUAGUACUUGAGUGUUGGAGAGGCUAGCGGAAUUCCUAGUGUAGCGGUGAAAUGCGUAGAUAUCAGGAAGAACACCGGUGGCGAAGGCGGUUAGCUGGACAGUAACUGACGCUGAGGCGCGAAAGCGUGGGUAGCAAACAGGAUUAGAUACCCUGGUA